GAUGAACGCUGGCGGCGUGCCUAAUACAUGCAAGUCGAGCGAACGGACGAGAAGCUUGCUUCUCUGAUGUUAGCGGCGGACGGGUGAGUAACACGUGGAUAACCUACCUAUAAGACUGGGAUAACUUCGGGAAACCGGAUCUAAUACCGGAUAAUAUUUUGAACCGCAUGGUUCAAAAGUGAAAGACGGUCUUGCUGUCACUUAUAGAUGGAUCCGCGCUGCAUUAGCUAGUUGGUAAGGUAACGGCUUACCAAGGCAACGAUGCAUAGCCGACCUGAGAGGGUGAUCGGCCACACUGGAACUGAGACACGGUCCAGACUCCUAGGGGAGGCAGAAGUAGGGAAUCUGCCGCAAUGGGCGAAAGCCUGACGAAGCAACGCCGCGUGAGUGAUGAAGGUCUUCGGAUCGUAAAACUCUGUUAUUAGGAAAGAACAUAUGUGUAAGUAACUGUGCACAUCUUGACGGUACCGAAUCAGAAAGCCACGGCUAACUACGU
Molecule: ribosomal RNA, 496 nt
Filed under: uncultured bacterium
Lineage: Bacteria
Description: partial 16S ribosomal RNA
Rfam family: Bacterial small subunit ribosomal RNA
Source: RNAcentral